Molecule: non-coding RNA, 3315 nt
Organism: Pantherophis guttatus
Lineage: Eukaryota; Metazoa; Chordata; Lepidosauria; Squamata; Colubridae
Source: RefSeq, a predicted model, not a curated record
GGAGGGAGGACUGGAUGGGCGCUUAAGCAGCCAUCUCCCCGCUCAGAACACAAUAGAAGCUCCGGCCUUUGAAGUACUGUAUUUCCAUAAAUGCCGUGUUUAAACGGAAGUUCGCCUUUGUUUGCAGAUAAAACGUAGGUGAUUCAACUGAGACUGCUGUGGAAGGUGCCCAUCAGUUAUUUUAGAGGCGAUGGUAUCACAGCAGGGGGCAGCACCCAGGUUGACCCUGGCUGGCUGGAAGCUGAAUAGGGAUGCAUGGAGAAAACCUGCAGGAAAUUCCACUGCGGUAAUGUGCAUUUGACCUCUUUUUUGUUUUACCACUUGCACACUUCUUAAAAACUCAGUCCUGCUAUUGCUCAACUUACUUUUACAUUUCUCUUAACCCACUCACUUCCUACUAUAUAACAGAGCAGACCUAUGUAUGUUGCUCACUCCCUGCCCAGCCUAAUAUCAUUCUGCACCUCCUGAAUUUUGCUCACUGAUUCUUUUUGUAUUCUUUCAGUCAGAAGCCUGCCAAACACUAUUCCAAGUACAUGUAACAAAUGAAUCCACCUGUAGUUUUUGCACUCAUCUCCUUUGUAUAGAGGAACAACCUUGGUCUUCCUUCUGAUAUCAUGCCACAUUGCCACAAGUUCAACAAGCUGUGUUUUACUUCAUGUUGUUCAAUGCAAGCUAAGAUUUCUUAUGCAGAAGCUAUCUUACAAGCCAGUGUACUGUUGCCCUUAUUCUGCCACCUAAUAUGUACACACAACUGUUGUUGGACACAGAUACUACAGUCGAGAAUGAGUGGGUACUGAAUGAAUGUGGACUGAGCACAGGCAUGAGUGACCUGUAGAAGAGAGGCUGGUUGAUAUGCAUUAGUUGUCCAGAGAAAAUGAAGAGGAUUAAAUUGCAAAAUAGUUAUCUGAAUGAAGAGUGCACAGAUCAAGAAAAAGGGGAAUGACUAGAAAAUCAUGGUUGGACAGAGUUGGAAAGUAAGAAAGAUACAUGAACAGUUUGGUGUGAAGGAGGCCCUUUCUGAGGGAGAUGGGCAGUUUAGAAUAUGAAAUAUAAGUAAAUACAAUAAGUUGUAGCCAUAUUUCCUUUUCUGUGAAUUGCUACCUUUAAUUUCUUAUUUCUUUCUGCAUUUUGCAUAAUACUUACUCUAAAAAAAGAACCUUCUGAUGAAUAUCUCUGCAUCUCUUUUUUCCGCGAAUGUCAUUCUAUGAAUAUACACCUUGUGAAGAAAUGCUCCUUUUAAUCAGUUCUGAAUCAUGCACCAUUUAGCUUCAUUGGAUGACCCCAAGACCUAGUAUUUUGAAAGAGUAAGAAGUCUGCUACAUGUUCCAGCAACCAGAUACACCAAUAAGUGGGGAUUAACACCAAACAAUGAAGCAGAACACAAUUGCAUAAUCGAGGACCUAUUAAGGAGGGAAGUUGAACUGUAUAUAAACAAAGAGCAAACCCCACAAUCACUUGCACUGAUGAUGUUACCUAGUCAGGUAAUGAAACAACUGCAAGCUAACAGUCAAGCUUAGAGAUACCAAGGACAGCACAGUUCAGUCCUGAGCUACAUACCGAUGGAGAAGAUCAGAGAAGGCACCUGUCAGAUAUAUUUGCUUUGAAGUGUUUGGUUAUUUGAAUUUCCUAAUUGUUCUUUAUAAACGGACUGGCCUCCAGGCUUCUAGGAAUAAGGAUUUACUCUCUAGACCUAUUGCCUUCUUUUCCCUGUCCUGGAUAUGGAAAUGACAGGAUUGGAUAUGAAAUCGAUUGUGCAUAUUGAAGGGGGCAAUCCGGACAUCUGCCCGGUAACGUUCACAAGACCAGAUGAAUGAUGGGAGUAGCAGCGUCUGCACCAUGGAGCACCAGAGCACUGCCAGCACCAUCCAAGUGGGAGCAGUGUCAUAGCGUAGGCUGAAGAAGCUGACCACCUAAAACAAGGAGAGAUAAGAGUUGGUGUGGGUAAAAUUCCACAGUUGGCUCCCUGUUCAUGACAGAACACUCCAGAGACUAUCAGAAAAUUUCUCAGACCGCUAAAACAGGAAUGAUACUCGUGUUCUUUUAACAUUCAGAGAACUGAUAGGCUUUGCAAAUGGAACAUUCUCAAAAAACCAAGCAGUCGAAUCGGUGAAAACACAGCUAAACAUAAACAGGUAUUGUGGGAAAUGCAACCACCUCAACACACUUUUAAAAUCAUUGUCUGCUUUCUACUCCAGCAUUACAAGGGAAGGGAAACGCUCACAAAUACUUUUUGGCAAACAGCUUCCUAAUGGCUAGUUCACUAUAUGCAGAAGCUGAAAUUGUAUGUCUGGAAAAUAAUUUCAGUAUGUGCUGGCUAUUGUCUUAUAACACAUUACAGCAUUAUUAUUUUUUAAAAGAAAAUGAUGCUAAUUACUGCUAUCAUCAAGUAAACAGCAAGAGCUGAUCAAGUGACAUCAGCAAAGGGCAGGAUACCGUUUUUUUUGGACUAUAAGACGCACCGGAGUAUAAGACACCACUGGAGUAUAAGUUGCAUCUUAGUUUUUGGGGAGGAAAAUAAGAAAAAAAUUGAUUGGAGGUGGAUCGGUCUCCCGGAAUACCCACAAACAGUUCUUCCCAGAGGUGAACUUUAGCAACAGGUUCGUUGGUUGUGAGCUCUGCACUUGCUUUUUCAGCCUCUCAAAGGGAGGUUUCAGAGCUUUUUUCAGCCUCUGAAACCUCCAUUUCAGAGACUGGGCAGGGCUACAUUCAGACUAUAAGACGCACCCAGAUUUUCACCCUCUUUUUGGGGGUAAAAAAGUGCAUCUUAUACUCCAAAAAAUACGGUAAUUGCCUUACAGAAAAGUCUAAUAGCUCAGUUACUCUGGUCAUACUCAGUUACUCUGGUUACUUUUUCUGCAUUCUUUCUUUACAAAAGAAGUCUGCAGUUUUCAUUUAUUCUGCUGGAUUUAAUAAUUAUCUCUAUGGAGAAAAUACUGUUUUCCCCAUAGCUUUUAAAUAGCAAUGUAUUGGUUGUUGCAAAAAUUAAACAAUUAUGUAUAAUUCUCUCAAAUGAUGUAUGGCACAUGAUUGCACAGAUGUUACAAGCACCAGAUAAUACUUGUGACCUCUACAGAUCAAUGCUAAAAAUAACCUCCAUGGAUAUCUAUACCCUAAAAAAUACUAUUGAUAUUUUAAAAAAACAUUUUAUAUUAUUCCAAAAUUCCAAUUAACAGUAGAUCCAUUUAGUAAUGUUUCCUGUCAAGUUUGCUGGCAUUUUUCUUUAAUUAUUGGCAACUCUGUUAGGCUGGAUGAGAAAAAAAAUUCAGUAAAUGUGAAUUGUGAAUGAAAAUUCAAGAAAUAAAUUGAAAUUGACAA